This 444-nucleotide ribosomal RNA is filed under the name uncultured bacterium. RNAcentral's name for it is "partial 16S ribosomal RNA". It matches the Rfam family "Bacterial small subunit ribosomal RNA", at positions 354 to 796 of the family's 1533-position model. The record is from RNAcentral.
GUAGGGAAUAUUGGGCAAUGGUCGGAAGACUGACCCAGCCAUGCCGCGUGCAGGAAGACGGCCCUCUGGGUUGUAAACUGCUUUUAUCUGGGAAGAAAAAGGCCAUGCGUGGCAAAUUGCCGGUACCAGAUGAAUAAGCACCGGCUAACUCCGUGCCAGCAGCCGCGGUAAUACGGAGGGUGCGAGCGUUGUCCGGAUUUAUUGGUUUUAAAGGGUGCGUAGGCGGCUGAUUAAGUCAGCGGUGAAAGACUUCGGCUUAACCGGAGCAGUGCCGUUGAUACUGGUUGGCUUGAGUGUCGGAGGGGUACAUGGAAUUGAUGGUGUAGCGGUGAAAUGCAUAGAUACCAUCAGGAACACCGAUAGCGAAGGCAUUGUACUGGCCGACAACUGACGCUGAUGCACGAAAGUGUGGGGAUCGAACAGGAUUAGAUACCCGUGUAGUCC